AACGAACGCUGGCGGCAUGCCUAACACAUGCAAGUCGAACGAAGCCUUCGGGCUUAGUGGCGCACGGGUGCGUAACGCGUGGGAACCUACCAUCAGGUUCGGAAUAACAGUUAGAAAUGACUGCUAAUACCGGAUAAUGUCUUCGGACCAAAGAUUUAUCGCCUUUUUGAUGGGCCCGCGUUGGAUUAGCUAGUUGGUGGGGUAAAGGCCUACCAAGGCGACGAUCCAUAGCUGGUCUGAGAGGAUGAUCAGCCACACUGGGACUGAGACACGGCCCAGACUCCUACGGGAGGCAGCAGUGGGGAAUAUUGGACAAUGGGCGAAAGCCUGAUCCAGCAAUGCCGCGUGAGUGAUGAAGGCCUUAGGGUUGUAAAGCUCUUUCAGUCGAGAAGAAAAAGCUGCAGUGAAUAACUGUAGUUCAUGACGGUAUCGACAGAAGAAGCACCGGCUAACUACGUGCCAGCAGCCGCGGU
RNAcentral lists this ribosomal RNA (473 nucleotides) under uncultured bacterium. Its description in RNAcentral is "bacterial SSU rRNA". It matches the Rfam family "Bacterial small subunit ribosomal RNA", at positions 29 to 521 of the family's 1533-position model. The record is from RNAcentral.